RNAcentral lists this ribosomal RNA (207 nucleotides) under uncultured bacterium. RNAcentral describes it as "partial 16S ribosomal RNA". It matches the Rfam family "Bacterial small subunit ribosomal RNA", at positions 568 to 774 of the family's 1533-position model. The record is from RNAcentral.
AGUGUAGACGGUUGUGUAAGUCUGAUGUGAAAGCCCGGGGCUCAACCCCGGGACUGCAUUGGAAACUAUGUAACUAGAGUGUCGGAGAGGUAAGCGGAAUUCCUAGUGUAGCGGUGAAAUGCGUAGAUAUUAGGAGGAACACCAGUGGCGAAGGCGGCUUACUGGACGAUCACUGACGUUGAGGCUCGAAAGCGUGGGGAGCAAACA